RNAcentral lists this ribosomal RNA (519 nucleotides) under Lachnopus seini. RNAcentral describes it as "partial 12S ribosomal RNA". Lineage: Eukaryota; Metazoa; Arthropoda; Insecta; Coleoptera; Curculionidae. The record is from RNAcentral.
UUACACUUAUAAUGCAAUAAAAAAUUUUUGGUUAUAAUUAAUAAUAACAUUGUUUGGAUUAAUUUUUAAUUUUAUUAAGUGAAAUUUUUAAAAUUAGAAUAAGUCUUUAAAUAUAUUAUGAGGUUAAUAAAUUUAGAUUUAAAGACUAGGAUUAGAUACCCUAUUAUUCUAAACGGCAAUUAAAUUACCAGGUUAGUAUUAGAUAUGGUCUUGAAAAUUAAAGAAGUUGGCGGUAUUUUAGUCUAUUCAGAGGAACCUGCCCUAUAAUCGAUGGUCCACGAUUUUUAUUACUUAUUUUAUUAGUUUAUAUAUCGCCGUAGUUUGAACAUUUUUUAAAAAAAGAAAUGUUCAUAAUUUUUUUAGAAAAGAAUUCAGGUCAAGGUGUAGCUUAUAAAUAAGAAGAGGUGGGUUACAAUAAAUUUAUUUAUAUGAAUUGAUAAGUGAAAUUUUAUAAUGAAAAUGGAUUUGAAGGUAAUUUUAUUUAAAUUUAUAAGAUGAUUUUAGCUCUAAAAUAUGUAC